RNAcentral lists this ribosomal RNA (485 nucleotides) under uncultured bacterium. RNAcentral's name for it is "partial 16S ribosomal RNA". It matches the Rfam family "Bacterial small subunit ribosomal RNA", at positions 29 to 523 of the family's 1533-position model. The record is from RNAcentral.
AGUGAACGCUGGCGGCGUGCUUAACACAUGCAAGUCGAACGAGAACGGAAUAUAGCUUGCUAUAUUUGUCAGCUAAGUGGCGCACGGGUGAGUAAUGUAUAGAUAACCUGCCCUUAAGAAAGGAAUAACAGUUGGAAACGACUGCUAAUGCCCUAUAUGCCUUUAAUACAUAAGUAUGCAAGGGAAACGCUUUAGUGCUUAAGGAUGGGUCUGUAUGGUAUCAGCUUGUUGGUGAGGUAAUGGCUCACCAAGGCUAUGACGCCUAACUGGUUUGAGAGGAUGAUCAGUCACACUGGAACUGAGACACGGUCCAGACUCCUACGGGAGGCAGCAGUGGGGAAUAUUGCACAAUGGACGAAAGUCUGAUGCAGCAACGCCGCGUGGAGGAUGACACAUUUCGGUGCGUAAACUCAAUUUAUAUAGGAAGAUAAUGACGGUACUAUAUGAAUAAGCACCGGCUAACUCCGUGCCAGCAGCCGCCGUAA